Molecule: ribosomal RNA, 272 nt
Filed under: uncultured bacterium
Lineage: Bacteria
Description: partial 16S ribosomal RNA
Rfam family: Bacterial small subunit ribosomal RNA
Source: RNAcentral
UACGAAGGGGGCUAGCGUUGUUCGGAAUUACUGGGCAUAAAGGGCGCGUAGGCGGCCUUGUCAGUCAGAAGUGAAAGCCCCCGGGCUCAACCUGGGAAUUGCUUUUGAUACUGCAAGGCUAGAGUUUCGGAGAGGAUGGUGGAAUUCCCAGUGUAGAGGUGAAAUUCGUAGAUAUUGGGAAGAACACCGGUGGCGAAGGCGGCCAUCUGGACGAACACUGACGCUGAGGCGCGAAAGCGUGGGGAGCAAACAGGAUUAGAUACCCGGGUAGU